AAUUAGAAAGCGAAGGAUUGCAUUUAGUUUCGACCUAAAUUUUGGUUUAUACCUCUAAUUU
RNAcentral lists this transfer RNA (61 nucleotides) under Cambaroides schrenckii. RNAcentral describes it as "tRNA-Arg". Lineage: Eukaryota; Metazoa; Arthropoda; Malacostraca; Decapoda; Cambaridae. The record is from RNAcentral.